This is a non-coding RNA of Podarcis lilfordi (Lilford's wall lizard), 77 nucleotides long. Lineage: Eukaryota; Metazoa; Chordata; Lepidosauria; Squamata; Lacertidae. The record is from the annotation of a GenBank genome assembly.
GCCCUGAGUCAUAGCUCCGUAGGCAGAACAUGAGACUCUUCCUCUCAAGGCUGUGGGUUCGAUCCCCACAUUGGGCA